UGGUGCUGUCAUUGCCUUACACAUUGGCAUGGACAAGGCCCUUUGAAGAAAGUUAUCUGGUCAAACUGAGGAAUAUCAGUGACAGAAUGACAGAAGGCCUAGAAAAUAUGUGAUUUGGUUGUAUUUCUACAAGUGCUUUUAUGCAGGACACAACUUGCCCACAUGACUGUAACAGGACAUAUAAAGGGAUCAUCUGAGAAUUACUCAUUGUCAAAAUGGAAACAAUGCAACCACCAUUCUCAAACUUCAAUGAGUAGAAGAAUCAUGGCAGCUUGUUAAAAUGCCUGAGUCUCAUCUCAGAUAUUCAAUUCAGGAUGACUGAGCUUUAUUGAUUUGUCAAUGAUUCCUAUUGGAGACCAAAACUGAGCAGAUAGUUUGUAUGAAAAAGGCCAAUGAAACUCUUCCUUCAUGUUGGAAACAAUUUGGAAACAAACAUUUGGAAACAAACUGCUUCCGUCUUGCCAAUUUUCCCCAGGCCGUUUAUGUGAAUUCAAUUAGCAAGGUAUUCCCUGGUCAUCUCUGUUCCCCACCUGCCACCAGAGGAUGUGCUGCCUCCUUGCCUUAGAAAGCUUGCAGAGAGCUAGACCCAGCAUGCCUACAGCCUCUUCACAUACUCAACCCCAGCCUCCUCAUGAGUCCUUCUCACACCUUUGAGCUGAAACUCGGAUCUCUGAAAUUCUAGAUAUGUAUGUGUAUAUCCAAAUACUUGUUCCAACUUUCCAUUUGAUGGUCCUAGAGACGCCUACAACCCACUGUCUUACAGAUGGAAUAUUUACCUUCCUCAAACUCACUCCACUGCUGUGCUGAUUUCAAAGUUCUCCAUAUAUACACAGAUAUAGAUGUGUUUUUGUGUGUGUGUGUGUGUGUUUACGCACAUCAUAUUUAUAUUCUGGAUGUAGAUUAUUGAACUCCAAGAAAAACAACUAAUUGGUAAGGUUUCAAAGCUAUAAUACUCUUGAUGUGCUUAAAUUAAUACUCAUAUUAAUUACAAGAGCAUUAACUUAAGAACAUUAAAUUCUUAUAUCAUGGCUGGGCGCGGUGGCUUACGCCUGUAAUCCCAGCACAUUGAGAGACCGAGGC
This is a long non-coding RNA of Rhinopithecus roxellana (golden snub-nosed monkey), 1080 nucleotides long. RefSeq lists it as uncharacterized. The record is from RefSeq and is a predicted model, not a curated record. NCBI's taxonomy places the organism in Eukaryota, Metazoa, Chordata, Mammalia, Primates, Cercopithecidae. The transcript has 4 exons.